Molecule: long non-coding RNA, 404 nt
Filed under: Homo sapiens (human)
Lineage: Eukaryota; Metazoa; Chordata; Mammalia; Primates; Hominidae
Description: novel transcript
Source: RNAcentral
CAUCAACUGGCAUGGACCCAGUAGCCAGACGCCUGCUCUGGAACAUGGUGACAAAGACACGUGAAAGUGGAAAAGCCAUCGUUAUGACCUCCCACAGUAUGGAGGAAUGUGACGCCCUCUGUACCAGUCUAGCCAUCAUGGUGCAAGGGAAGUUCACUUGCUUGGGCAGCCCUCAGCAUCUCAAGAGCAAGUUUGGCAACAUUUACAUCCUGAAGGUCAAGGUCAAGACUGAAGAUAAAUUAGAGGAUUUUAAAUGUUAUGUUGCAACAACAUUUCCAGGUGUUUGGCAUUUUGGAGGAAGCUAAAGAGCAAUUCGAUUUAGAAGACUAUUCUGUCAGUCAGAUCACACUGGAACAGGUCUUCCUGACCUUUGCUAACCCAGAGAAAGCAUCCAGUGAUGAUGA